RNAcentral lists this ribosomal RNA (440 nucleotides) under uncultured bacterium. RNAcentral describes it as "partial 16S ribosomal RNA". It matches the Rfam family "Bacterial small subunit ribosomal RNA", at positions 338 to 795 of the family's 1533-position model. The record is from RNAcentral.
CCUACGGGGGGCAGCAGUGGGGAAUAUUGCACAAUGGGGGAAACCCUGAUGCAGCGACGCCGCGUGAGUGAAGAAGUAUCUCGGUACGUAAAGCUCUAUCAGCAGGGAAGAAAAUGACGGUACCUGACUAAGAAGCCCCGGCUAACUACGUGCCAGCAGCCGCGGUAAUACGUAGGGGGCAAGCGUUAUCCGGAUUUACUGGGGGUAAAGGGAGCGUAGGCGGCAGCACAAGUCUGGAGUGAAAUCCCGGGGCUUAACCCCGGAACUGCUUUGGAAACUGUGCGGCUGGAGUGCAGGAGGGGUAGGCGGAAUUCCUGGUGUAGCGGUGAAAUGCGUAGAUAUUAGGAGGAACACCGGUGGCGAAGGCAGCUUACUGGACUAUAACUGACGUUGAGGCUCGAAAGCGUGGGGAGCAAACAGGAUUAGAUACCCCAGUAGUC